Molecule: ribosomal RNA, 465 nt
Filed under: Vreelandella stevensii
Lineage: Bacteria; Pseudomonadati; Pseudomonadota; Gammaproteobacteria; Oceanospirillales; Halomonadaceae
Description: partial 16S ribosomal RNA
Rfam family: Bacterial small subunit ribosomal RNA
Source: RNAcentral
CCUACGGGUGGCAGCAGUGGGGAAUAUUGGACAAUGGGCGAAAGCCUGAUCCAGCCAUGCCGCGUGUGUGAAGAAGGCCUUCGGGUUGUAAAGCACUUUCAGUGGGGAAGAAAGCCUUGGGGCUAAUACCCUCGAGGAAGGACAUCACCCACAGAAGAAGCACCGGCUAACUCCGUGCCAGCAGCCGCGGUAAUACGGAGGGUGCGAGCGUUAAUCGGAAUUACUGGGCGUAAAGCGCGCGUAGGCGGUCUGAUAAGCCGGUUGUGAAAGCCCCGGGCUCAACCUGGGAACGGCAUCCGGAACUGGCAGGCUAGAGUACAGGAGAGGAUGGUAGAAUUCCAGGUGUAGCGGUGAAAUGCGUAGAGAUCGGGAGGAAUACCAAUGGCGAAGGCGGCCUUCUGGCCUGACACUGACGCUGAGGUGCGAAAGCAUGGGUAGCAAACAGGAUUAGAUACCCGAGUAGUC